Molecule: ribosomal RNA, 253 nt
Filed under: uncultured bacterium
Lineage: Bacteria
Description: partial 16S ribosomal RNA
Rfam family: Bacterial small subunit ribosomal RNA
Source: RNAcentral
UACGUAGGGUGCGAGCGUUAAUCGGAAUUACUGGGCGUAAAGCGUGCGCAGGCGGCUUUGCAAGACAGAUGUGAAAUCCCCGAGCUCAACUUGGGAACUGCACUUGUGACUGCAUAGCUAGAGUACGGUAGAGGGGAGUGGAAUUCCGCGUGUAGCAGUGAAAUGCGUAGAUAUGCGGAGGAACACCGAUGGCGAAGGCAAUCCCCUGGGCCUGUACUGACGCUCAUGCACGAAAGCGUGGGGAGCAAACAGG